This 489-nucleotide ribosomal RNA is filed under the name uncultured bacterium. RNAcentral's name for it is "bacterial SSU rRNA". It matches the Rfam family "Bacterial small subunit ribosomal RNA", at positions 21 to 507 of the family's 1533-position model. The record is from RNAcentral.
GGCUCAGGAUGAACGCUAGCGGCAGGCCUAAUACAUGCAAGACGAACGGUAAGUUGAGUAGCAAUACUUAGCCAAGAGUGUCGUACGGGUGCGUAACACGUAUGCAACCUACCCUAUACAGGAGGAUAGCCUAGGGAAACCUGGAUUAACCCUUCAUAGUAUUAUUGGAUGGCAUCAUUUGAUAAUUAAAACUGAGGUGGUAUAGGAUGGGCAUGCGUCUGAUUAGUUAGUUGGCGGGGUAAUGGCCCACCAAGACGAUGAUCAGUAGGGGUUCUGAGAGGAAGAUCCCCCAUACUGGCACUGAGAUACGGGCCAGACUCCUACGGGAGGCAGCAGUAGGGAAUAUUGGGCAAUGGACGCAAGUCUGACCCAGCCAUGCCGCGUGCAGGAUGAAGGCGUUAUGCGUUGUAAACUGCUUUAUACAGGAAGAAACGACUCUUGCGAGAGGCAUUGACGGUACUGUAUGAAUAAGCACCGGCUAACUACGUG